AGAGCUCAAAAAACUAAACUUCUAAUUUAACAAAACGAUAAAAUAUCGUAAGCUCUA
This 57-nucleotide transfer RNA is filed under the name unidentified. Its description in RNAcentral is "Cupuladria biporosa tRNA-Ser". The record is from RNAcentral.